GAUGAACGCUGGCGGCGUGCCUAAUACAUGCCAGUCGAGCGAACAGACGAGGAGCUUGCUCCUCUGACGUUAGCGGCGGACGGGUGAGUAACACGUGGAUAACCUACCUAUAAGACUGGGAUAACUUCGGGAAACCGGAGCUAAUACCGGAUAAUAUAUUGAACCGCAUGGUUCAAUAGUGAAAUACGGUUUUGCUGUCACUUAUAGAUGGAUCCGCGCCGCAUUAGCUAGUUGGUAAGGUAACGGCUUACCAAGGCGACGAUGCGUAGCCGACCUGAGAGGGUGAUCGGCCACACUGGAACUGGGACACGGUCCAGACUCCUACGGGAGGCAGCAGUAGGGAAUCUUCCGCAAUGGGCGAAAGCCUGACGGAGCAACGCCGCGUGAGUGAUGAAGGUCUUCGGAUCGUAAAACUCUGUUAUUAGGGAAGAACAAAUGUGUAAGUAACUAUGCACGUCUUGACGGUACCUAAUCAGAAAGCCACGGCUAACUACGUG
RNAcentral lists this ribosomal RNA (497 nucleotides) under uncultured bacterium. RNAcentral's name for it is "partial 16S ribosomal RNA". It matches the Rfam family "Bacterial small subunit ribosomal RNA", at positions 28 to 507 of the family's 1533-position model. The record is from RNAcentral.